GGGUUAAAACUGCGAAUGACGCAACAAAAGAACUGAUUAUCCGACUGAAUCGGGAGCCUGGGCUUCGUGCCGAAGCGCCUCAGUGAAUGCGUUGCCGAGAAAAGUUUGCAGUUGUUCCCCCGCUUGCCCGUACCGUAAACCGACACAGGUGGGUGAGUGUAAGUGCACUCAGGCGCGCGAGAGAAACCUCUCUAAGGAACUCGGCACAUUAGCCCCGUAACUUCGGGAAAAGGGGUGCCCAAUGCCGCUGCAGCAAUGUUGCGGCGGAGGGUCUCAGUAAAUUGCGUUUAGCGACUGUUUAACAAAAACACAGCUCUCUGCCACGUCGUGAAGGCUACGUAUAGGGAGUGACAAGUGACCAAUGCGGAAAGAUCAAAGCAUCUUGUUAGCCGCAAGGCGAAGCUCGGUGCCCAAGUCCCCGUGAAUGUCGGCCGUAACUAUAACGGUCCUAAGGUAGCGAAAUUCCUUGUCGGGUAAGUUCCGACCUGCACGAAUCUUGUAACGACUGAACGACUGUCUCGGAGAGGAUCUCGGCGAAACUGUAACUGCGGUGAAGAUGCCGCAUGCCCGCAGUAGGACGGAAAGACCCUAUGCACCUUUACUGUAAGCUCGUAUUGUGUUCUGGUUAGGAAUGCGUAGCGUAGGUGGGAGACUUCGAAGCGCGGGCUUCGGUUCGCGUGGAGUCAAAAUGUGAAACACCACUCUUUUUUAAUUAGGAUUCUAACCCCGAUCCUGUCAGCCAGGCGGGGGACAGUGCGUGCGGGUCAGUUUGACUGGGGCGGUUUCCUCCCAAAUUGUAACGGAGGAGCGCGAAGCUCGGCUCAGCAUGGUUGGCAACUAUGCGUUGAGGGUAUGGCUAAAAGCCGGGUUAACUGUGAGACUUACAAGUCGAGCAGGUGCGAAAGCAGGCCCAAAUGAUCCGACGGUGGAAUGUGGAAUUGCCGUCGCUCAUCGGGCAAAAGGUACGCUAGGGAUAACAGGCUGAUCGGGUCCAAGAGUUCACAUCGACGACCCGGUUUGGCACCUCGAUGUCGGCUCAUCGCAUCCUGGGGCUGGAGAAGGUCCCAAGGGUCCGGCUGUUCGCCGGUUAAAGCGGUACGCGAGCUGGGUUCAGAACGUCGUGAGACAGUUCGGUCCUUAUCCACUGUGGGCGGAGGAUACUUGAGGGGUUCUUUCUCUAGUACGAGAGGACCGAGAAAGACGCACUUCUGGUGUGGCAGUUGUUCCGUCAGGGGCAUCGCUGCGUAGCCAUGUGCGGAAGGGAUAAGCGCUGAAAGCAUCUAAGUGCCAAGCCCAUCCCAAGAUAUGGUGUCCCGGCCGCAAGGCCCUAAAGACCCCCGGCAGACCACCGGGUUGAUAGGUCAGGCGUGCAAGACAAGCAAUUGUCUGAGCGGAUUGAUACUAAUCGGUCGUGAGGCUUGACC
RNAcentral lists this ribosomal RNA (1424 nucleotides) under metagenome. RNAcentral's name for it is "bacterial LSU rRNA". It matches the Rfam family "Bacterial large subunit ribosomal RNA", at positions 1453 to 2925 of the family's 2925-position model. The record is from RNAcentral.